RNAcentral lists this ribosomal RNA (4651 nucleotides) under Triticum aestivum (bread wheat). RNAcentral's name for it is "partial small subunit ribosomal RNA". The record is from RNAcentral. Lineage: Eukaryota; Viridiplantae; Streptophyta; Magnoliopsida; Poales; Poaceae.
CGAGGGUUUUAGGAGUUUGGCGUUUUUGGUCCCCUCGUAGGAGACAGAAGGAGGAGACGGAGGAGGGAGGAGAUGCAGAAGGAGGAGGUAGGGGAUUGAGUAGAGUUGGGGUGACGUUGAUGUCUAGGUGGAGCGGGAGCUCGCCGGAGGGUACCGCAGCGGGAGGCCUUUGGGAUUAGGGUUGGGGUUGCAGGGGAAGCUCGAGUCGUCCGAGAAGUUCGGAGGGGGUUUGGGAUUGGUGGGGUGUUGGCACGGCUGGGGGCGACCGUAGAAGGGCCCGCCGGGCGGGCCGCGCGGCUACCGGUGGCCCGGCGGCCCGGGGAUGAGGAUGGGCGGGCGGUGGGGCGGGAAGGUGGCGUUGGGCAUGGAGUUGAUGGGGUGGCUAGGGUUGCGGCAGGUGGAGGGGCAGCGGCGGAAGCGCUUAGGAUUGGGGUGACCUUUGGGAUAGGGAUUGAGGUUGGGGCCGGGGUUAGGCCCUCGAGCCGAGUACGUCGACGACCCGUUGUGGCGCGGGUGGGUGGAGCUCAGGCACCACAGGUACGGCGGAUGCAGUAGCCUCAAGAGACCGCCGGGCCACCGCGGCGACGGUCCCUACGGCAGUCGUGGCGGCCGCUCCUACUGUUCGUGUUCGUCGUUCUACGGGGCCCCGUCCGACGACCCUGGCCCCCUGUCCCGGCACGUGCUGCACCUGAGCGCCGACGGUCCCCUCCGCGUCGGUGGCGUCGACCUUCACUGCGGGUAGUGGUUCAUGUGGAGCCUGGGCCCCAACCACGACCCGGCCGUCUAGCGACAUUUGGCUUGCAUGUAGCACAUGCCGGAGUUCGAACCGUUGUAGGCGCACGAGUUGUAGUUGUGGCGUGAGGCGAGCGAGGAAGCACCCGUGUGUGUCUCCCACUGCCUGUACCGAAAGAAACGUCUUCUACAGGUAGCAAAUCGUUCACGUUCGCAUCUACCCGCAUAUAUACAUACCUUCUAACUGCUCCCUGGGCUACUCCUUUUAUUUGGUGUUUAGUGUCCUUUCUAACUUUACCGGUAGGUCUAUCAUCCUCUACGACCUUGAAUGGUAGGCUCUUAUACAACCGUGAGGGUAUUCGUUCUUUAAGACAAACAACCUUAUCCCUUGACACAGAAUUUUUAUCUGUGUUGUUUUCACCCUUCUCCUUCUCUGAAGUCAUUUCUUCUCGGAGAAUUUACAAGUGAACUAUUCGAGUAACUACCACACGUGAACCAACCAUUUGUACUGCCCCUACAGUGUCUAGACAGGAAUAGAGUUACCUACUGAUGGGCAGACCGAAGUCGUAGUUUUCUACCGUGCCAUUUUUAGACCCUACUAGCGUCCUGUCACGGAAAUAGACACUACUUUGGCGUACUACCAUUUCGACAAAUAAGCCAAAGAAAGGAAUGUCGUGGUCUCGUUGGUUUAGUAUAUUUAGAGCAAUGUCGCCCCGGAGAGUUGGCUCUUCAUUUUUAGACCCGAAGGAGACUAUUCCUUCCAACCAACAACGGUUCACUUAGACUCUGAACCUCUACGUGAGUUUGAGACCUUGAACACUCAAGAGACCUUUUAUCCAAACUCCUUCGUAAAAAGUUGGUUCAUCGUCACAACGGUGUUCGAUCGGAAUAAAACGAACGCUUACGGUUUUUCUUGCGAUAUAUACGAUAGGUACAACUCAUACCAGGUCUAGGACGAAGAUGAGCAGACCUGAUAUAUCGUCUAAAGUGUCAACGUUACGGAUAAAAUUCAGACUGCCCUUGUGUACUUUCGGUCGGACUACCACUUGUACAUCAUGUUCAGAUAACACAGGUCUGUUACCGAUAGGUCGUCAUACCUAACCUCAAUAAUGAGACAAACGGAGGAUGUCGACUAUUGCGACCCGAACCAUCCCUAGACCGAUAAAGGGUACGUAUACUCUCUGGAGAUCUUCACCGUAGUCACCUCAGUAGUUGUCUUUGAUUUGGUGACUCACUAGUAGUCCCUUGUCUUCGACUAUGACGAUGAGUACAAAGUAGGGGUUGAGGAAGUAGUUUGUACCUAUUACGACCUAGAAUACGUCUUCGACAGAACUCUUCUCUUCGAAGUUCUCCGGGUAGAGAACCACUAGUACUACCCCUGUUCAGUAGAAAACUAAUAAGUUUCUUUUCCUACCUAAGACUACCAUGUUCACCCGUUCCUCGUAAACUAUCCUUCCUAACGAAACCCUUACUUCUCGGUUCUCCACCGGUCCAACUACCAUGUCAAAGUCUAGGAGUAGGGUGCAAAUUCCAGCCUCACUUACGGUGUGUGAACUAAUGGGGUAGACUUUAAUAAAGUCCACACGAGGGUAGACGACUUAGCUGACGAUUACCGUCGGGUGUCUUACAUCUUUACCUCAGUUUUGAACACCGACUCUUUUUUCGUCUAGUUUUAUAACCUAAACUCCUACAAUUCCUCUGGGUUUAACAAGUUCUCUUUUACCUCUCUGAAUUGUACAGAAGUCUCGUUUGACAUCUCUGUUAAUCACUUGCGAGCCAUUGUUGACUGUUCAUGUCACACCUUCUAAGUGUCUCUAGUCUGGGGUGUGAAGACUUUGUUGUAAGACCACGCGCCCUACUUUUAGAAGGUUCUUCUUGUCGACUUCGAUGACUUUUGUAGUUACCGAGAAGCAGUUCCUUGAACGUCAAUGGGAGUCGAUGGUUUCUCCUCUUUCAAGACGUAGGAGUCCACAGACCCGUCUACAGAGGAGAAUGUUCGUGGAAGUUGAGAUGACUAAGUAGUGUACUUGUAGGUUCGUUAUGUUUGGGACGGUAACUAAGACAGGGCGUUCAUCGACGGUAAGUUCCUUGUAACGUUGUCGAAUACCGUUACGUAUGACUGUACGUUUUCGUCGACUUGCGUUAACACAGACGAGGAUAACGUUUCCUCCCGUUUUCCUAGCUCUGUAGUGAGCCCGCAUUAUAACUCUUCAGGUAUUUCCGAUUACAACUACGGUACACCCGAGCAUAGGUCCUCCUUUUACGUUCCGUACUUUUCCAACUUUCUCUCGCUUACGUCGUCUAAAGAUGAGAUUAGUGUUGAAGACAUUUGUUCCUGUAAGGACGAUAUGACCUCUUUAGUAAUUUCUCUCUUUAUAGCAACAACCCUGGGUGGUAACGUUCUUGUUGUUGUGGAUAGUAACUCUUCAGGAACAGAAGACGACAAAGCCUAAGCGAAGUCUUUCAAGAACCCCUUUUCCAACGUUUAGUCGACCUAUUCAGGUAUUCAUGCUUUGAACUUCGAUGACAACGAUUCGUCUAGGUUUGUGUCAAGGUAUGUAGACGGUUCGUCCGUGAAGUCCUACGAAAUGCCAGUUCGAAACUCAGUAGUUAAUAGGGUCGUAAACUUGUUAGAACAUUCUGUUACAAACUCGUUCACCUACCACGUAAGGUCUUCCCGUACAGACUCGUACCAUGACGAUAGGUCGUCGUCCAGCGUCGUCGUGUAUCAGGUAACCGUGUCUGAAAUUCCCUUUGUUAGUUAAGUCGUAGUAGUUAAUGGGUCCCAGAAUGUAGUCUCAAUGAACUACCAGUCGCGUUCGAAAACCGUGAUCAACGUAGUCCCUUGGGUUAUAGUGUAUUAUGAUCACGAAACGUCGGGUAGUUGCCUGGUUAUGGGUUAGAGGGACUCCGACUACAAGGUGACCUGGGCUACUUCCUCGAUUGGUCUGAUAAUAGACUCGUUUUCAAACUACUCCGCAAAUGCUACCGAGAAGUUUCUUCACUGCAGAGGUACCAUAGAACCAACACGAGAGUCCAACUAAACGUUCCAGACACAUCUGACUUGGGGCAAGGAGACUUGGUUCCCCAGGAAGACCGGGAAAAGGUCGUUGACCGUACGCUGUAUCGGUUGCUGUGUGGAGACUUCGAAGUUACCUACUGUCGCCAGCGGUACCGUUAGGUUGGUUGGGUAGUCUACUAACGUCGCGUACACUCCGGUUAUAAACUCGUUCAGAUACCACAGAACCGGGCGGUUGUCAGCCAUGGUCCUUGGUCGGGUGACCUUCGCUUGUUGUAGGCGGAUUACUACGUACAUUAGUUGAGCCACUACUACUGGGUGUUCACUCUACUAUCCCGCGUAAGACAUCGGCGACAUUCAAACUUGGUGGUAUACUAGAUAAACACUCGGGCACAUGUCUCCCUUAAAACUCUUCACCGAGAACUUGGCCGUUACACCGUCACUAUGGUAUGGGGAUGGAUCUUCCACAACAUUUAACCAAUACAAGCACAGGCAUGAAUACCGCGGAUGGUGGAACAAACCACCUCGCGAAAUCGAGCAAUGAACGUAAGGAACGUGUACGCAACUCUACAAACACCGGUGGCACGGUCACAGCACACACUUAGGACCGCGGCUGCUACCGUCAAAUUUGCAAGACCACACUUGGUACCUCGACGGCGCCGUGGCUGCUACAGUCAAACAAAUAAAAAGCCUCUCUCAACCUCAACCUUGUACGCUUUCAAAACUACGCAGGAGUCGCGCGACCAAGACACAGCCGGUUACCUUCUUUCUUCCCGGCACGAUUGCAGACUAGAUGUGUCCUGUCACAUUAGAUCAAUCACAACUUUUGUAAGAAUAUAAUACUUUGCGUACCUCGUCAUGUAGUCUGCAUAAUCACAGUCUUUGUGAGAAUAUAAUACC